This is a small nucleolar RNA of Zancudomyces culisetae, 299 nucleotides long. It matches the Rfam family "ACEA small nucleolar RNA U3". Rfam says of the family: Small nucleolar RNAs (snoRNAs) are involved in the processing and modification of rRNA in the nucleolus. There are two main classes of snoRNAs: the box C/D class, and the box H/ACA class. The record is from Rfam. NCBI's taxonomy places the organism in Eukaryota, Fungi, Kickxellomycota, Harpellomycetes, Harpellales, Legeriomycetaceae.
CAGACUGUACUUACAAGGAUCUAGUUUGUAGUACACUUCUUUGUCUUUGUUUCCGAACAAAGUCAUGCAAACAAGACUGGACGAUGAUUGGAACUACACUGUCUGAAAAGGGAAGUGUGAGUUUUAAGGCAACUUGGUGUUUUUCAUUUUUUAUGAGGGACUUUUUUUGGAGGAGCUCGCUUCUUUGAAAAAAGACCUUGAAAGAAGGGAAAGCUACCACGCCUUUUCUGACUCGUUGAUGAUCUUGCCAAGCGGUGUUAAAAGCUGCUGGCAUGGACGGAUGUAGAUUCUGACAGUCU